CCCUUAGAUGUUCUGGGCCGCACGCGCGCUACACUGACUGGUUCAACGAGUUGCAUUUCUCCUUUGCUCCGAAAGGCAUGGGUAAUCUGUGAACGCCAGUCGUGAUGGGGAUAGAUUCUUGGAAUUAAAAUCUUCAACGAGGAAUUCCUAGUAAACGCAAGUCAUCAACUUGCAUUGAUUACGUCCCUGCCCUUUGUACACACCGCCCGUCGCACCUACCGAUUGAAUGGUCCGGUGAAAUUUUCGGAUCGUGGCAGUUUGCCUUCACGGGCGGCAGCCGUGAGAAGUUAAUUAAACCUUACCAUUUAGAGGAAGGUGAAGUCGUAACA
This 329-nucleotide ribosomal RNA is filed under the name uncultured eukaryote. Its description in RNAcentral is "partial 18S ribosomal RNA". It matches the Rfam family "Eukaryotic small subunit ribosomal RNA", at positions 1470 to 1796 of the family's 1831-position model. The record is from RNAcentral.